GUGGUAAUGCCGGAUGCUCCAUCACACCGCAUGGUGUGUUGGGAAAGCCUUUGCGGCAUGGGAUGGGGUCGCGUCCUAUCAGCUUGAUGGCGGGGUAACGGCCCACCAUGGCUUCGACGGGUAGCCGGCCUGAGAGGGCGACCGGCCACAUUGGGACUGAGAUACGGCCCAGACUCCUACGGGAGGCAGCAGUGGGGAAUAUUGCACAAUGGGCGCAAGCCUGAUGCAGCGACGCCGCGUGAGGGAUGGAGGCCUUCGGGUUGUAAACCUCUUUUGUUAGGGAGCAAGGCACUUUGUGUUGAGUGUACCUUUCGAAUAAGCACCGGCUAACUACGUGCCAGCAGCCGCGGUAAUACGUAGGGUGCAAGCGUUAUCCGGAAUUAUUGGGCGUAAAGGGCUCGUAGGCGGUUCGUCGCGUCCGGUGUGAAAGUCCAUCGCUUAACGGUGGAUCCGCGCCGGGUACGGGCGGGCUUGAGUGCGGUAGGGGAGACUGGAAUUCCCGGUGUAACGGUGGAAUGUGUAGAUAUCGGAAAGAAACACC
This 541-nucleotide ribosomal RNA is filed under the name Bifidobacterium breve. Its description in RNAcentral is "bacterial SSU rRNA". It matches the Rfam family "Bacterial small subunit ribosomal RNA", at positions 160 to 710 of the family's 1533-position model. The record is from RNAcentral. Lineage: Bacteria; Bacillati; Actinomycetota; Actinomycetes; Bifidobacteriales; Bifidobacteriaceae.